This is a long non-coding RNA of Bradysia coprophila, 188 nucleotides long. Lineage: Eukaryota; Metazoa; Arthropoda; Insecta; Diptera; Sciaridae. The record is from RefSeq and is a predicted model, not a curated record.
AGAAUUUUGUCUCGUCUCUUGAUAGCACGAUACCUUGAGUAAUCCUGAACAGAUUUAAAAAAAAAUAUUAUUCGACUAAGAAUGAAAUUCGUGACGGGUAACCAGAUCAUCUGUCUAUAUAGUCUACUUAUCAUACGGAGUAAUUUUCGACAGCUUUCCAAAAACGUUUUUGCUCGAAAAGUACUUAA